AUGGCAGCCACCACAGGCUCAGUAGUAAAAGUCCCUUGCAAUUUCCAACUGUUGGAAGAACUCGAAGAAAGCCAGAAAGGAGUAGGAGAUGACACAGUUAGCUGGGGUCUAGAAGAUUACGAAGACAUGACACUUACAAGAUGGACAGGGAUGAUAAUUGGGCCUCCAGGAACAAUUUAUGAAAACCGAAUAUACAGCCUUAAAAUAGAAUAUGGACCUAAAUACUCAGAAGCACCCCCCUUUGUAAUAUUUGUAACAAAAAAUUAAUAUGAAUGGAGUUAAUAGUUCUAAUGGAGUGGUGGACCCAAGAGCCAUACCAGUGCUAGCAAAAUGGCAGAAUUCAUAUAGCAUCAAAGUUGUCCUGCAAGAGUUUCGGCGCCUAAUGAUGUCUAAAGAAAAUAUGAAACUCCCUCAGCCACCUGAAGGACAGUGUUAGAGCAAUUAA
RNAcentral lists this long non-coding RNA (445 nucleotides) under Homo sapiens (human). Its description in RNAcentral is "non-protein coding lnc-SLC4A11-3:1". The record is from RNAcentral. Lineage: Eukaryota; Metazoa; Chordata; Mammalia; Primates; Hominidae.